Molecule: long non-coding RNA, 880 nt
Organism: Schistocerca nitens (vagrant locust)
Lineage: Eukaryota; Metazoa; Arthropoda; Insecta; Orthoptera; Acrididae
Exons: 3
Source: RefSeq, a predicted model, not a curated record
CUAAUAAAAACUUUGGCGCACUUGGUAACACACGCUGGUCGCUUGUAUGCCGACGAGGUUGUGUUUCACGGAACUGAAAAUGAAAUUUACACUAGAAAUAGCUGAAGUAUGUACAAGUUAAGAGUGCUCUAGUCCUGCGGGAAAGCAAAUCAGACAAAUUUUUCUCACCAUGGCUGGAAACAGAGAUGACCCAUUUGAGCACUUGCUUAAUAUGUACCGAAAUAUUUCGGAGAUGUGUGUUCUGCACUGCGUUUCGAAGCGAAGGCCAGGGACACCCAGACGUGGAGAGGUGCUGUGUGUUGAAUACUGUAUAGCAGAUGAAAUGCAGCAUUUGAGGAAGUCUACAAUAAACAGAUUACCAGACUACAAGAAAGUGUAAUUAUCUGAAUUGCUUACAUGUGGAUAUGUAAUUCUUAAUAAAGAGUGAUGUUGAAAAUAUAAAUAUAAUAAUAAUAAUAAAAAAAUAUAUGUAUUAAUAAAUAUUAAUUAAGAUGUGAACAAUGUUCCAGAGUUUACUGCAUCAUAUGAGCCAAAACUGUCAUGUCAUUGUUUUCUGGCAGUUGUCAGUUAGUGGAAUUAGAGUAAAAAUCUCUUUAAAUUGAGGGUAAAUGUGAAAAGAUACAGUUAAGGUUUGCACAUAUUUCAAAACUACAGAAAUAUCAAGCCUCUUAGAAAAUAUAGAAAUUACUGUUAAGGUAUUCAUCCAUUCAUCAAAGGAGAUCAGCACAAAUUUCUGAAUGAAAUAAGAAUAACUAAAAACUAUAACUUUUAUAGCUUAUUAUUAUUAUCAUCAUCAUUAUUCCUGUUACUUCUAAUGUUUGUAUCUCUGAACAGUAAUUACCUAGAUUUAGUCAUAGGUUUCUGGUAAAAUUUUUGCCAA